UGAUAAUCAACUCUAGUAAAAGAAUGUCCAAAUCAAUUGAGCUUUAGCAAGGGCAAACUGACUGGACACAGCCAGACUCCCAGCAAAACUGUCAGCAAUUGAAUCCCCUUAGAUAUGGAAGAAGUUCAGAUUUCCUGAUCCUAAAUUCACUCUCCUUUUGGACACAUGCAGAUCAGUCUCUACCUGUCCCAGACUGAGAUGUAAUGUGGCUGUAGACUGUAACUGUUUACAGAAGUGGGAGCCUUCAAUAGCUGCCUCUUCAUUGCCUGGUUUGGAGACUGACUCAGAAAAUAAGACAUUAAGCUUUAAAGCUAGCUGAAAAAUAAAGGGUGGAGAUGUGAAAAAUGUCA
This 350-nucleotide long non-coding RNA is filed under the name Cyanistes caeruleus (blue tit). Its description in RNAcentral is "lncRNA (ENSCCEG00000009072.1)". Lineage: Eukaryota; Metazoa; Chordata; Aves; Passeriformes; Paridae. The record is from RNAcentral.